GUGAGGAAUAUUGCGCAAUGGAGGCAACUCUGACGCAGCCAUGCCGCGUGCAGGAAGAAGGCGCUACGCGUUGUAAACUGCUUUUAACCGGGAAGAAACCCCAGGACGUGUCCUGGGUUGACGGUACCGGAGGAAUAAGCACCGGCUAACUUCGUGCCAGCAGCCGCGGUAAUACGAAGGGUGCAAGCGUUAUCCGGAUUCAUUGGGUUUAAAGGGUGCGUAGGCGGAGCGUUAAGUCAGUGGUGAAAUCCUGCAGCUUAACUGUAGACUUGCCAUUGAUACUGGCGCUCUUGAGUGCACUUGAAGUGGGCGGAAUGUGCCGUGUAGCGGUGAAAUGCUUAGAUAUGGCACAGAACACCAAUUGCGAAGGCAGCUCACUAAGGCGAUACUGACGCUGAGGCACGAAAGCGUGGGGAUCGAACAGGAUUAGAAACCCGGGUAGUCC
Molecule: ribosomal RNA, 445 nt
Filed under: uncultured bacterium
Lineage: Bacteria
Description: partial 16S ribosomal RNA
Rfam family: Bacterial small subunit ribosomal RNA
Source: RNAcentral